UCUUUGAAUUGCAUCUCAGACUUCACUGCAUCACAUCACGCCGACGACACGAUGAACUUGCCAUUUGAACUCGAUAAGGACAUGAGGAAACCGAAUGAGCAGGUAAAUGUCUCUCUUUACUAUUUUAGUCUCAAACUCUUACUGUAUGAAGCAUCCAAAAUACAAGUUGUGGCAAACUACUCGUAAGUUAUGUUUUGCCUGAUACAGGUGACUUGUGACACAGAAAAUGAAGAGAACAACACUUCCGCUGACACCCUGCUUCCUUCCUGCACCCACAGAACCACUUUUCACUCACAAUGUGUCAGUGUGUACCAACAAUGAAGCUGGAACAGAUGAAUACAUGGAGAGUGAGAAGCAUUUUGCAUUUGAACUUGAAGCAGAGCAAGAAAAACGACACUGUGAGAAGAAGGAGGAGGAAAGGAGACAAAUAGAAAGAGACUUCCAGAAGGAGCUGAAGAAGAUAAUGGAGGCCGAGAAGCUGCAUCAGAAGGAGUUUGAGUUGAUGGGGAAAAGAGCUCAGCAAAAACUUGAACAGGAGUUGCUGCUGCAACAGGAACUGAUCAGAAACUUACAGAGACGAGUGGAGGAAGAGAGGAGGAUGAGGGAAGAGGAGCAGAAGAGGAUAAAGGAUGAGGAGGACAAGAGGAAAAGGGAAGAGGAGAAAAUCAAGAUAGAGGCAGAGAGGAAAAGAAUGGAGGAAGAGACAAGGAGGAAGCAAGCGGAAGAGAGAAAAAUAGAAGAGAUAACACUUAAAAAAGAAGAGGAGAGAAAACAUAAGGAAGAGGAAAAGAGGAGAAUGGAAAGGGAGGAAAAGAGGAAGAGAGAAGAGGAAAGAAUCGAGAUUGAUUUGGAAAAGAACAAGCUAGAGGAUGGGAUGAGAAUGACAAAGGAGAAAGACGAGAGGAAAAGGGAGAAGGAAAGACAAGAGACAGAAGAGGCAAGGAAAAAGAUGGAGAAAGAGAAGAGAAAAAUGAAGGAAGAAAUUAGCCUGGAGGAGGAGGAGGAGGAGGAGAGAAAAACGAGCAAUAAAGAAGAUAUGAGAAUACAGGAGGAGGUGAGAAGAACUAAGGAGAUUGAGGAGAGAAAGAAGCAGGAUGAGAUGAGGACAAAUAAAGAAGAGCAGGAGGCUGAUGAUAGAAAAACGAUGGCUCAGGAAAAGCUUAAUGAAGAGAUGAGGAGGCGGGGUAAAAGUCAAGAUGAACAUGCAGAUGAAGAAAUAAAGUUUGUGGAGAGGAAAAAGAAGGAAGAAAAGGACAGGAAAAAAACAGAGGAGAAGAGGGAGGUGAAGGAAAUGGUAAGAGAAAAGGAAGGGGAAAACAGAAAACUUAAAGAAGAACUUAGACCCAUCGAAGAGGAUGUGGAGACGAAAACGGACUAUGAAAAGAAAACAAUAGAGGAAGAACAGAAGAGGAAGCAGAGGGACGAAGUGUAUUACAGAAUAAGGCUUAAAGAGGAUCAGGAGGGGUACAAAGGCUGUGAUGUGCACAACAGAAAGUUGGAAUGUGAGAGCAAAACAAAAGAAAAGAAACAGGAGGGGACGAGCAAAAGGGAGGAGGAGAUAAAAAAUGUGGAGAGAGAGAAGCAGCUGAAGGGAGAAUUUAUGGGAGAAACUGAGAAAGAGGUUCCCGAAAAAACAGAAAAAGAAAUGAGACUUAAAGUAAAGGAGGGGAGCCAAAAGAGAGUGGUGCACGACACGGAAAAGGACGUAAGAGCAAAUGAGCUGCAAGAGAAAAGAGAAAAUAACAGCACGAAAUAAAGAUAAAACAGAAAACUCCCUGGUCUCACAACUACAAGACAGCACCUGGACUUCCUCAAGCCCUGGUCCUUUAUACAGUGAGUCUACAGUCAGGCCCCCCAGUACUGAAACCAUACCAGAACAACAACAUGACCCAGAAGAGAACAUCAGUCAGACUUCCCUAGAUAAAACUGUGGACUGCGAAAAUCAAGCAGCAAGGCCUUCUCCUCUGUUUUUACCCGUGUGCCUCCCAGUGCACACAGAGAAGAAGAGGCUGUCAUGGAUGAAAGACUGCAUCCCCUGGUCCAAACUCUCCCUCCAGAACAAGAGGAAGCAGAAAGGAUCCGUCCGGAGUCGGAGAGGGCUGCGAGGCGCUGCCGAGGCCAGCAGUCUGCCACCUCUCUGCCCAGACACUUUGCUUCAGUUCACAGGCAGGAAAUCCCUGCAAGAGGUAAGAUUUGUACAAAUGCUCGGCCAUGAUACAGACACACUGACAAUACCAUUUGUGAAAGAUGAAGUUGUUU
Molecule: long non-coding RNA, 2259 nt
Filed under: Sander lucioperca (pikeperch)
Lineage: Eukaryota; Metazoa; Chordata; Actinopteri; Perciformes; Percidae
Description: lncRNA (ENSSLUG00000023187.1)
Source: RNAcentral